Molecule: long non-coding RNA, 954 nt
Filed under: Lathyrus oleraceus (garden pea)
Lineage: Eukaryota; Viridiplantae; Streptophyta; Magnoliopsida; Fabales; Fabaceae
Description: Pisum sativum (pea) long non-coding RNA (PSAT_LNC008713)
Source: RNAcentral
GUUUGAGCUCGUUUUAGGUUAGAGUUUCAAUGUGAAACUCUAGCUUAAACCUGAGGAUUCUUGAGCUUUAGUGAAAAAGGAAUUUUGGGAUUUCUUAGCAGAGUUACGGUAUCUUUGUUUGGCGUAGUCUUUCUGUAUUUAUAGGGUGAUUGUGAAGGAUAUUCCUCUCAUGAUGAGCUGGAAAUCUUUGGAUAAAUCCAUUAGGAAAUCCUUGGUGUAUCCCAGAUUUCGUGGGGGAUCCAGCUGUGUGUUUUUUUAUGAAGGAAUGGUUGUCUGUAGCGAGUAAAAAUCCUUUUGUGUCUCUUGUGGUCCCAUACGAUUAGGAUAUACUUGGUUUACCGCAAUUAUUUCUUUAUGUGAUGUCUUAAUUAUUUUCUUCCUAUUAUGAUAAACCAAUAUGCCUUGCCGUGUAACAUGUUAUUAGCUUCAUGUUUCGUUUUCUUUUUAUUUCCCUUGUGUGCUACUCUUUAGACUCAUGGUUUCCAUGUAUUGAUUGCGACUCGAAGCGUACCGUAACUAGGAUUUAGUCCACGUGUGCUAUGAUAUUGCCAUUCUCACUUUGUUCUUGUUCUGCUCACAUUUUUCCUUUCUUGCAGGUUGUACCACAUAAUUGUUUAGACAUUCAUGGUAUUCAAAACCAGAUUUCGAAGCAUGCCUCUUCUCAUGGACUUAACACAAUGAAACUUUGAAGAUAUACUUAUGAUGGGGAAUUUUGGCUGGUAUCUUCCUAAAGUGACCCGAAGAAAUGAGUGCAAGGAGUUGCCAUUUAUAUAACAUGUUGUCUUAAGUUUAAAACAUUGGCUUUGAUAUGUAAUCUCAUCUUUGGACUAUGGGCUAGGAUUUAUGCAAAUUGUAAUGUAAUCCCUUUUGUCCAUGUGGUUCCCUCAUUAUUGUGUACAUAAAAAGAAUCUUCGUAAUCCUGAAUUAAUGAUCCCAACUAUCUUUGUUACGAAA